UCACAUCUGCGCUCAAACGUGCGGGUAACGAAGAGGCGCAAACGCUGCGCUUCCGACGGCCGCUAAUAUAACUGGUUAACAAAGGUACCAUGCCGGUCAGCGCAGGGGCGGAGUAACUGCCCUGUCCAGCAGGGGGCACAUGAGGCGGAUACCCAGGCAGGGUGGUACUCGCCAGGUCGCGGCCUGCAGGGAUGAGACACACGUGUACGCCUUGGUCAGUCGCCACACGGAUCAGGGAGGCGGGCACAGUUUACAGAAAGCAGUAGAAGUUUCUGGAAACUCCCCAAGAAGGGUUAAAAUACGUCACGUCCCCCCGACUUUCAUCAGUCACUGACGCUACGUCCUGCUUGUUUAUCC
Brienomyrus brachyistius is the source of this 357-nucleotide long non-coding RNA. RefSeq lists it as uncharacterized. The transcript is spliced from 3 exons. NCBI's taxonomy places the organism in Eukaryota, Metazoa, Chordata, Actinopteri, Osteoglossiformes, Mormyridae. The record is from RefSeq and is a predicted model, not a curated record.